AUUUAAUAUUUUACAAUAUUACUUACCAAUUCUUUAAAUAUUUUCCAAUGUUGAAGUAAAAAAUUUUAGGAUAGUUUUUUAUAACCAACGAGAACAUAGCAAACCAAAUUGCUCUGUUAUACCCAACAAACACACAAUAAAACCAAACCAAAAACCUAAAUUAUCACCAGAGAGCAACAUACUACCAAAAAAAAAAACGACAUAUUACCAAGAAAAAAAAGCCUUCAACACAAAUUUUUUUAGUUAAACCCGAGAAAA
Molecule: long non-coding RNA, 258 nt
Filed under: Vitis vinifera (wine grape)
Lineage: Eukaryota; Viridiplantae; Streptophyta; Magnoliopsida; Vitales; Vitaceae
Description: long non-coding RNA (VVIN_LNC005063)
Source: RNAcentral